AACGAACGCUGGCGGCAGGCCUAACACAUGCAAGUCGAACGCUCGUAGCAAUACGGGAGUGACAGACGGGUGCGUAACGCGUGGGAACAUACCCUUUGGUUCGGAAUAACUCAGGGAAACUUGAGCUAAUACCGGAUACGCCCGAGAGGGGAAAGAUUUAUUGCCGAAGGAUUGGCCCGCGUCUGAUUAGCUGGUUGGUAGGGUAACGGCCUACCAAGGCGACGAUCAGUAGCUGGUCUGAGAGGAUGAUCAGCCACACUGGGACUGAGACACGGCCCAGACUCCUACGGGAGGCAGCAAUGGGGAAUAUUGGACAAUGGGCGCAAGCCUGAUCCAGCCAUGCCGCGUGAGUGAUGACGGCCUUAGGGUUGUAAAGCUCUUUUACCCGGGAAGAUAAUGACGGUACCGGGAGAAUAAGCCCCGGCUAACUUCGUGCCAGCAGCCGCGGUAAUGUCACAUGCUGAGACUG
Molecule: ribosomal RNA, 469 nt
Filed under: uncultured bacterium
Lineage: Bacteria
Description: bacterial SSU rRNA
Rfam family: Bacterial small subunit ribosomal RNA
Source: RNAcentral